RNAcentral lists this ribosomal RNA (232 nucleotides) under uncultured bacterium. RNAcentral describes it as "partial 16S ribosomal RNA". It matches the Rfam family "Bacterial small subunit ribosomal RNA", at positions 99 to 334 of the family's 1533-position model. The record is from RNAcentral.
CGGACGGGUGAGUAAUGUAUGGGGAUCUGCCUGAUGGCGGGGGAUAACUACUGGAAACGGUAGCUAAUACCGCAUAACGUCGCAAGACCAAAGAGGGGGACCUUCGGGCCUCUUGCCAUCGGAUGUGCCCAGAUGGGAUUAGCUAGUAGGUGGGGUAAAGGCUCACCUAGGCGACGAUCCCUAGCUGGUCUGAGAGGAUGACCAGCCACACUGGAACUGAGACACGGUCCAG